GAGCACAACCAACAGAUAGAUUGGUACUAAAUCAUGGGAAGGCAUACACUUAACAUAUAUAUGAGGCUUGCUGGCGGUGCUAAAGUUAGCUAAAUAUGACAAAAGCCUGCAGAAAUCUCAAAGCCUUCAGAUUCUCUUUCAAUCAUAGAUCGUUUAUAUGCCUUACAUAUGUUUGGUGUUCUAAUCCAUUUCUUGGGUUUUGUAAUUUUUCUUCAUUUCAAAAACAAAUUGAAAGGAUUAAUAUCACAUUCAUCUAGAUAAGUUUAUACUACUUCAUCAAUAUCACAGUGCACAUACUGCACAAAUCAAUGUCAUGAGUUGAGGAGGAGACGAAGAUACUAACCUGGAAUUCUUGGAGCUGAUAUCCGGAAAGGAUUUGGAUUGUUGUACGCCCUUUAUAGAUAAAAACCCAGGCAAAUCCCUUCUCUUCUCCUUUCUCCUCUCCUCUCUAUCCUCGAUCGUCCUUGAAAUUUCUGGAAUUGCUCUCUCUGACAAAUCCAGACAAAUCCCUGAUUCUCUCCUAUCUCCUCUCUCUCACCUCGAUCUGAAAACGAAUUGGAUUCGGUCACUGACCACACCCUUUAUAGAUACAAACCCAGAAAAAUCUCUCCUCCUCUUUCUCGAUCUAGAAACGAAUUGGAUUCAGCUACUCAGCCUUGAACCUUAGUCGGUGCUCUCUCUGAUAAUCAGCAGUUGUCGAAAUUUCUGGUCUCUGAAAAGGUCGGUGCUCUCUGAAAAUGUCGAAAUUUCUAUAUCCACGCAAGUCCAACACCAAAGCCUUGCUCACGGGAACAGUAAAAACACUGUACACUUGAACAGAAACAGACCCGACGCAAAAUAGUAUAUUGUAUAAUAAUACCCGCGCUUUUCAAAAUUUAAAUAUUUGUUGAAGGAAAAAUACCUUAUGUGUGCCUUCGUCAAAGUAAUUGACGAGAAUAGAUUAAGGCAUUAGUGAUUAAUGGAUGUAACGGCUCUAUUAGUUAUAUCAGUCAUUAUGUACAUUGUUAUUAUCAUUGAUUAUCGUCAUUAUGUGCGUGCAAUUACCGUUGAAAUUCACCUCUAUAUAAAGAGGGUUUCUAAUGAGAAUGAGUAGACCUUGUUCCAUAUCAUAUUUUCUGUAACAAUAUUAUAAUUGUAAAAAAUAAAAAUAAAAGAAACCGCCUAGGCGGUGGGCUGGGCGAACACUUGGGCUACCUCCCUCGGUCCAAAAUUUUAGUAAAAAAUAAAAAAAUAAAAAAAUAUUUUUAGGAAACUGGCUAGGUGGGCUAGGUGGACACUCACUGAUUUUCGUCUAAUUGCAUUUCACUUGAUAUCAGAUUGUUCCACCGCCAAUUCAACUCAGAAGAGGUUCCUCAGUUCUUCUCCAAAAAAAGAAAGUGAUUUCUCAACUGGCUCUUCAAUGUAAUGCGCUAAUUACAUUAUGUAGAUUAUUAUAAGCAUAGACAAUUUCUUUUGGUCUCUUUUAAGGCUAUUAAGCUAAUCAUAGUUCUUCCAGUGGAGAUUGCUUGAAUAUUCAUGUUUUCUACUGUCUGAGGAGUUUGGUUAUGUCAUGUUGUCUCUGUUUUGGAUUUUGGUAGUUCCUCAAGAAUCUGGACAAGAAUACUACAGAAGAACUUAGCGUGCUGGUUUAAAUCCAUAAGCUUUUUUUUUUUUUUUUUUUUCUAUUCAUCAUGUGUCUUGUUCAAUUAUUACUCAUAACUUUUAUGCAGAGCAUCUGUCUCUAGUAUUAGUGAAUUUGAAGAGACAGAACUGUUUAGUCAUUCAAACAGUUCCUAGCAACUUAUUAACGUGAAGUCGUGAACUAGACUAAUGAACUGAAUUUCUGGAAAAAUGAAAGCAGCUAAUUUGUUUAUACUUCAAUGUGAAGGUCAGUUUGAUACAGACCAGAACUAGACGAACAUAGCUUCACCAGUCAUUUUUGUUCUUUUGUAUGUACUGUGUAGUGUGUACACAGAAGUAUCAAAAUUUCAAACCUUGCGUGUAGCUUUGUUUGCAGUAUGUUAUACUUUCCCUUGUUGGGUGUUAUGAGUGGGUGACAUUGUUGCCAAGCAGUGCAGCUCCUUGAAGAUAACUGGGCCUAGGUUGGGCUCCAACGAAGUCGUGUUAAGUCGUUACGUGGUAUAGGGCUUUCCCACAACCUUGACGUUGAUCUAGGAAGAAGAAGUAUUGCAUUGAGUUGUUUUGAUAUCGUUUUGCACGAUUUGACAUUUAUAAGCUAAGAUUACUCUUAGGCAGGCUUGUAGGGAGAACUUCUAAUGAAGACCAAGUUAUGAUUUUUGAAUGAACGGUUGGAUGAUAUAGAUGUUAGAAUUUGAAAAUAUCAACUAAAACUUAAAACACUCAUCUAACUGUUCAUUCAAACGUUCUCACUUGGUUUCCAUUAUAAGGUUCUCAUUAGAACUUAAAAGCUUUCUCUAGGCUUGUAUAUGGUCGAGUUCUGAAGAGCAAAUCUAGAGCAGGGACAUAUCUAUGUUGUAGGCUGGUUGGGUUGUAGUCUAAGUGAAAAUUCUCCUAAACUAGUUUAUACUAGAAAUAAUACCCGCGCUUUGCUCAAAAUUUAAAUAUUAUAAUUGUAAAAAAAAAUAAUUAAAAGAAACCGCCUAGGCGGUGGGCUGGGCGAACACUUGGGCUACCUCCCUCGGUCCAAAAUUUUAGUAAAAAAUAAAAAAAUAAAAAAAUAUUUUUAGGAAACUGGCUAGGUGGGCUAGGUGGACACUCAGGCCCGCUAGGCGGUUGGAAAAUAGUGGGCCGGGUCGGGUAUUUAAAUAAUGUGACUUUUGAGAUUUUUUCUCACUCAUAUACUAUUUACGUUGACA
Molecule: long non-coding RNA, 2816 nt
Filed under: Fragaria vesca (wild strawberry)
Lineage: Eukaryota; Viridiplantae; Streptophyta; Magnoliopsida; Rosales; Rosaceae
Description: long non-coding RNA (FVES_LNC002806)
Source: RNAcentral